This 253-nucleotide ribosomal RNA is filed under the name uncultured bacterium. RNAcentral describes it as "partial 16S ribosomal RNA". It matches the Rfam family "Bacterial small subunit ribosomal RNA", at positions 524 to 776 of the family's 1533-position model. The record is from RNAcentral.
UACGGGGGGGGCAAGCGUUGUUCGGAAUUACUGGGCGUAAAGGGCUCGUAGGCGGCCAACUAAGUCGGAUGUGAAAUCCCCAGGCUCAACUUGGGAACUGCAUCCGAUACUGGAUGGCUUGAAUUCGGGAGAGGGAUGCAGAAUUCCAGGUGUAGCGGUGAAAUGCGCAGAUAUCGGGAAGAGCACCCGUGGCUAAGGCGGCUCUCUAGUACGGUACUGACGCUGAGACGCGAAAGCGUGGGGAGCGAACAGG